Rhinopithecus roxellana (golden snub-nosed monkey) is the source of this 2410-nucleotide RNA transcript. It is a transcript of the gene named limb development membrane protein 1 like, with no coding region annotated. The transcript is spliced from 17 exons. The record is from RefSeq and is a predicted model, not a curated record. Lineage: Eukaryota; Metazoa; Chordata; Mammalia; Primates; Cercopithecidae.
CUUGUGUCGUCACCAGAUCUCUUAAAAAGAUGGAACCUCAGCGGCGCUUCCUCGUAGCAAGCCUAGUGGCGGGUGUUUGCGUUGAAACGUGAGCGCGACCCGACCUUAAAGGGAAGGGAGCAAAGGAAGGACAGAGCCCUUUAAAACGAGGCGGGUGGUGCCUGCCCCUUUAAGGGUGGGGCAUCCGGACGGCUGUAUCUGAGCCCCAGACUGCCCCGAGUUUCUGUUGCAGGCUGCGAAGAAAGGCUCCUACACUGGGUCCGGGUGCUCGGCGGCGGCGGCUUCCUCCCCGCUUGUCCUCCCCGGGCCCGGAGGCACCCCGGCUCCAGUCAUGCUGAGCAGAGUAUGGAAGCACCUGACUACGAAGUGCUAUCCGUGCGAGAACAGCUAUUCCACGAGAGGAUCCGCGAGUGCAUUAUCUCAACACUUCUGUUUGCAACACUGUACAUCCUCUGCCACAUCUUCCUGACCCGCUUUAAGAAGCCUGCUGAGUUCACCACAGUGGAUGAUGAAGAUGCCACAGUCAACAAGAUUGCGCUCGAGCUGUGCACCUUUACCCUGGCAAUUGCCCUGGGUGCUGUCCUGCUCCUGCCCUUCUCCAUCAUCAGCAAUGAGGUGCUACUCUCCUUGCCUCGGAACUACUACAUCCAGUGGCUCAACGGCUCCCUCAUCCAUGGCCUCUGGAACCUUGUUUUUCUCUUCUCCAACCUGUCCCUCAUCUUCCUCAUGCCCUUUGCAUAUUUCUUCACUGAGUCCGAGGGCUUUGCUGGCUCCAGAAAGGGUGUCCUGGGCCGGGUCUAUGAGACAGUGGUGAUGUUGAUGCUCCUCACUCUGCUGGUGCUAGGUAUGGUGUGGGUGGCAUCAGCCAUUGUGGAUAACAACAAGGCCAGCAGAGAGUCACUCUAUGACUUCUGGGAGUACUAUCUCCCCUACCUCUACUCAUGCAUCUCCUUCCUUGGGGUUCUGCUGCUCCUGGUGUGUACUCCACUGGGUCUCGCCCGCAUGUUCUCCGUCACUGGGAAGCUGCUGGUCAAGCCCCGGUUGCUGGAAGACCUGGAGGAGCAGCUGUACUGCUCAGCCUUUGAGGAGGCAGCCCUGACCCGCAGGAUCUGUAAUCCUACUUCCUGCUGGCUGCCUUUAGACAUGGAGCUGCUACACAGACAGCUCCUGGCUCUGCAGACACAGAGGGUCCUGCUGGAGAAGCGGCGGAAGGCUUCAGCCUGGCAACGGAACCUGGGCUACCCCCUGGCUAUGCUGUGCUUGCUGGUGCUGACGGGCCUGUCUGUGCUCAUUGUGGCCAUCCACAUCCUGGAGCUGCUCAUCGAUGAGGCUGCCAUGCCCCGAGGCAUGCAGGGUGCCUCCUUAGGCCAGGUCUCCUUCUCCAAGCUGGGCUCCUUUGGUGCCGUCGUUCAGGUUGUACUCAUCUUGUAUCCUUCUGGAAUACAAAAACCUGUCUCCUGGGACUCUAGACAGCACUUCUUGGACUUUGUCUCCUUUGGGACUCUGAGCAACACUGAUGGGAAAUGGGCUCUCCACUCUUCCGGAGCCUGCGGCCCAGAUGGCAUGACACCGCCAUGACGCAGAUAAUUGGGAACUGUGUCUGUCUCCUGGUCCUAAGCUCAGCACUUCCUGUCUUCUCUCGAACCCUAGGGCUCACUCGCUUUGACCUGCUGGGUGACUUUGGACGCUUCAACUGGCUGGGCAAUUUCUACAUUGUGUUCCUCUACAACGCAGCCUUUGCAGGCCUCACCACACUCUGUCUGGUGAAGACCUUCACUGCAGCUGUGCGGGCAGAGCUGAUCCGGGCCUUCGGGUUGGACAGACUGCCACUGCCCGUCUCUGGUUUCCCCCGGGCAUCUAGGAAGACCCAGCACCAGUGACCUCCAGCUGGGGGUGGGAGGGAGAAAACUGGACACUGCCAUCUGCUGCCUAGGCCUGGAGGGAAGCCCAAGGCUAGCUGGACCUCAGGACCUGGAAUCUGAGAGGGUGGGUGGCAGAGGGGAGCAGAGCCAUCUGCACUGUUGCAUAAUCUGAGCCAGAGUUUGGGACCAGGACCUCCUGCUUUUCCAUACUUAACUGUGGCCUCAGCAUGGGGUAGAGCUGGGUGACUGGGUCUAGCCCCUGGUCCCAAAUCUGUUUACACAUCAAUCUGCCUCACUGCUGUUCUGGGCCAUGCCCAUAGCCAUGUUUACAUGAUUUGAUGUGCAAUAGGGUAGGGUGGGGACAGGGAAAGGACUGGGCCAGGCCAGGCUCGGGAGAUAGAUUGUCUCCCUUGGUUCUGGCCCAGCAGAGCCUAAGCACUGUGCUAUCCUGGAGGGGCUUUGGACCACCUGAAAGACUAAGGGGAUAGGAGGAGGCUUCACCCAUCAGCAAUAAAGUUGAUCCCAGGAUUUGCUUUGUUUUUUUUAAA